Molecule: long non-coding RNA, 1138 nt
Filed under: Monodelphis domestica (gray short-tailed opossum)
Lineage: Eukaryota; Metazoa; Chordata; Mammalia; Didelphimorphia; Didelphidae
Description: lncRNA (ENSMODG00000041621.1)
Source: RNAcentral
GGUUAUGAAGCCCUGUUAAGCGAUUUCUUUCUAUCAAAUUUAAUAGCCAAAACUGGUUUUUAUGCCAAGUCUAUUCUCCACCUUUCUCCAUUAAUCAGUGAAAAAGUGAAAGUAGAACCAGUAUAUUGUGAGGUUGCAUUAAAUGUAGAUGGUUAUUAUCUCACUGAAGAAGCCCUAUGGCAUCCUGAGAAUUGGUGUAAUCAGCACAGAGUCUUCCAUAAACAGUAAGAUCUGGAGAACAUUAUCCUACAUAGAAAUCUCACUUUCUUUUAAAUUUUUCCCAGGAUAUACUCCAUGGCUCUAGUGAACAACUUUGGCUUCCACAGCUAACAAAAGAAUGAAGAACAUGUCUCAGUUUAACCAACAAUUGUCCAUGCCGGGGAGUUAUAGAACCAUCAUCUCCCUCUUCUUCAAGUAUGAGAUACGUCAGGGAUACAGUGAAACAAGGUCUGAGUCCAAAUACUAAUUUGCUCUUCCAUUUACGACCAGUGUGACUUGGGGCAAGUCAUUUACAUCUCCAGACCUCCAUUCUCCGAUUUCUAAAGUGAGGGGGUUAAACUAAAUGACCUCCAAAGUCUUUUCUUCCUCUGAAUAUAUGAUCGCCAGCCCAUGCUCUAGGGCUUUCCCCAUUAUCCAGACCACAUUUCCUCCAGGAUCAGCCUAUUGUGAUUUUUUCCCCUUUCAUAUAGAACAGAAAUAUUCGAUCUGAGCCACAAUUUGAAGUAAUAAGCAACUCGUUCCUUUGCAGAGGAAAAAAAGACAAUUUUCUAGUAACCUUUGGAAACAUCUAAAUAACCCACACAUCUUUAUGGCUGAGUGACUCCUUGGAUUACGGAAACUUUUGAGCUUAUGUUUGCGAAGACUUCCAUUAACAUCUUUGAGCAACCUCUCAACUCAUUUUAAAACAACGGCAUCAUUCAAUAGAAGCAAAUUUAGCCUCUCCAGUCCUUUCCUCAUCCUGCCAGCUUUCCUAAUCACUCCUAUGAUAUGCUCCUGAAACCCUCAUUCAGGCUCCAAUGGAGAAUUCUCACCCGGAGGUCACAAUGUUCUGGGAGUGGAGGCAGAAGGACCUUUACUGUCUGAGGUUAGAGUCUUAUUUUGGUCUCAUUUAAAAUAAACCAACAUUUCUCCCUCCUCA